GAGUGAUCGAAAGAUGAAAAGCACUUUGAAAAGAGAGUUAAACAGCACGUGAAAUUGUUGAAAGGGAAGCGUUUGCGACCAGACUCGCCCGCGGGGUUCAGCCGGCACUCGUGCCGGUGUACUUCCCCGUGGGCGGGCCAGCGUCGGUUUGGGCGGCCGGUCAAAGGCCCUCGGAAUGUAUCACCUCUCGGGGUGUCUUAUAGCCGAGGGUGCAAUGCGGCCUGCCCGGACCGAGGAACGCGYUCGG
Molecule: ribosomal RNA, 247 nt
Filed under: Aspergillus fischeri var. fischeri
Lineage: Eukaryota; Fungi; Ascomycota; Eurotiomycetes; Eurotiales; Aspergillaceae
Description: partial large subunit ribosomal RNA
Rfam family: Eukaryotic large subunit ribosomal RNA
Source: RNAcentral